UACGUAGGGGGCUAGCGUUGUCCGGAAUCAUUGGGCGUAAAGCGCGUGUAGGCGGCCUUGUAAGUCCGUUCUGAAAGCCCGGGGCUCAACCCCGGGAGGCGGAUGGAUACUGCAAGGCUCGAGUCCGGAAGAGGCGAGUGGAAUUCCCGGUGUAGCGGUGAAAUGCGCAGAUAUCGGGAGGAACACCAAUGGCGAAGGCAGCUCGCUGGGACGGUACUGACGCUGAGACGCGAAAGCGUGGGGAGCAAACAGGAUUAGAUACCCCCGUAGUCC
Molecule: ribosomal RNA, 273 nt
Filed under: uncultured bacterium
Lineage: Bacteria
Description: partial 16S ribosomal RNA
Rfam family: Bacterial small subunit ribosomal RNA
Source: RNAcentral